CUUGCUUCUUUGCUGACGAGUGGCGGACGGGUGAGUAAUGUCUGGGAAACUGCCUGAUGGAGGGGGAUAACUACUGGAAACGGUAGCUAAUACCGCAUAACGUCGCAAGACCAAAGAGGGGGACCUUCGGGCCUCUUGCCAUCGGAUGUGCCCAGAUGGGAUUAGCUAGUAGGUGGGGUAACGGCUCACCUAGGCGACGAUCCCUAGCUGGUCUGAGAGGAUGACCAGCCACACUGGAACUGAGACACGGUCCAGACUCCUACGGGAGGCAGCAGUGGGGAAUAUUGCACAAUGGGCGCAAGCCUGAUGCAGCCAUGCCGCGUGUAUGAAGAAGGCCUUCGGGUUGUAAAGUACUUUCAGCGGGGAGGAAGGGAGUAAAGUUAAUACCUUUGCUCAUUGACGUUACCCGCAGAAGAAGCACCGGCUAACUCCGUGCCAGCAGCCGCGGUAAUACGGAGGGUGCAAGCGUUAAUCGGAAUUACUGGGCGUAAAGCGCACGCAGGCGGUUUGUUAAGUCAGAUGUGAAAUCCCCGGGCUCAACCUGGGAACUGCAUCUGAUACUGGCAAGCUUGAGUCUCGUAGAGGGGGGUAGAAUUCC
Molecule: ribosomal RNA, 598 nt
Filed under: bacterium 3RD
Lineage: Bacteria
Description: bacterial SSU rRNA
Rfam family: Bacterial small subunit ribosomal RNA
Source: RNAcentral